This 551-nucleotide long non-coding RNA is filed under the name Triticum aestivum (bread wheat). RNAcentral describes it as "long non-coding RNA (TAES_LNC020037)". Lineage: Eukaryota; Viridiplantae; Streptophyta; Magnoliopsida; Poales; Poaceae. The record is from RNAcentral.
GAAAUCAUAUAUUGGAUAAAAUUGUUGGAUUACAGUAGUGGAUAUUACAAGAGGAAGAGCAUCCAAAUGUGAUGCAUAUCUAAAUAUUUUCUCGACCAAGAAACUUAAACUAAAAGCAUUCAUCAACAUCCCUCAUACUUAACUAAAACAUAACUGAGGAACAUCAUUGAAUAGGAACAACAUCCCUACAACUUAACUAAAAUUGAAAGCAUCCAUCAUCAUCAUCAUGAACUGGAAGAUCAUCAUCGUCAUCACAUUGUAGUGUACUUGCCAUGCACCCAUAUAAUCAUCCAUGUAUCUUUUGAACCUACAAAGAAAAUAACAAAAUGAACCGUUAGCACACAGUGCAUUAAGAAGUAAGAACCGCUUUGCGCACACUUACUGCUCAUCAGAAAAAAAAAAUUGGUAUGGACAACAGUCUAAUAGCAAAUAAGAAGAAACAAAUAAACAAGAUAGCACUACAAUUUGAACACAAAUUCGUAUGUGAUUAUGAGAAGAUACCAGCAUUAGUGUUAGUUGUCCUUGAAGACUAAUCCAGACGCCACAGUAUA